ACUGGGGACUACAUUUCAACAUGAGAUUUGGAGGGGACAGACAUCCAAACCAUAUCCCAUGGCGACACAAGAUGUACAGAGAGCAGAUGAACCUUACCUCCCUGGACCCCCCACUGCAGCUCCGACUCGAGGCCAGCUGGGUCCAGUUCCACCUGGGUAUUAACCGCCAUGGGCUCUACUCCCGGUCCAGUCCUGUUGUCAGCAAACUUCUGCAAGAUAUGAGGCACUUUCCCACCAUCAGUGCUGAUUACAGUCAAGAUGAGAAAGCCUUGCUGGGAGCAUGUGACUGCACCCAGAUUGUGAAACCCAGUGGGGUCCACCUCAAGCUGGUGCUGAGGUUCUCGGAUUUCGGGAAGGCCAUGUUCAAACCCAUGAGCAGCGAGAUGAGGAGACACCAGUGGACUUCUUCUACUUCAUUGACUUUCAGAGACACAAUGCUGAGAUCGCAGCUUUCCAUCUGGACAGGAUUCUGGACUUCCGACGGGUGCCGCCAACAGUGGGGAGGAUAGUAAAUGUCACCAAGGAAAUCCUAGAGGUCACCAAGAAUGAAAUCCUGCAGAGUGUUUUCUUUGUCUCUCCAGCGAGCAACGUGUGCUUCUUCGCCAAGUGUCCAUACAUGUGCAAGACGGAGUAUGCUGUCUGUGGCAACCCACACCUGCUGGAGGGUUCCCUCUCUGCCUUCCUGCCGUCCCUCAACCUGGCCCCCAGGCUGUCUGUGCCCAACCCCUGGAUCCGCUCCUACACACUGGCAGGAAAAGAGGACCCCAGGACUUCUUCUCCCCCUCAGGUGGGAGGUCAAUCCCCUUUACUGUGACACAGUGAAACAGAUCUACCCGUACAACAGCAGCCAGCGGCUCCUCAAUGUCAUCGACAUGGCCAUCUUCGACUUCUUGAUAGGGAAUAUGGACCGGCACCAUUAUGAGAUGUUCACCAAGUUCGGGGAUGAUGGGUUCCUUAUUCACCUUGACAAUGCCAGAGGGUUUGGACGACACUCCCAUGAUGAAAUCUCCAUCCUCUCGCCUCUCUCCCAGUGCUGCAUGAUAAAAAAGAAGACACUUUUGCACCUGCAGCUGCUGGCCCAAGCCGACUACAGACUCAGCGAUGUGAUGCGAGAAUCACUGCUGGAAGACCAGCUCAGCCCUGUCCUCACUGAACCCCACCUCCUUGCCCUGGAUCGAAGGCUCCAAACCAUCCUAAGGACAGUGGAGGGGUGCAUAGUGGCCCAUGGACAGCAGAGUGUCAUAGUCGACGGCCCAGUGGAACAAUCGGCCCCAGACUCUGGCCAGGCUAACUUGACUAGCUAAGGGCUGGAAGAGUCCAGUUUCAGAAAAUACGCCUGGAACCAGAGCAGUGGACUCGAGUGCCGACCCUGCGUCCUCACCUCCACCUGUUAAUGCUGGGAGUCAAGUCAGCUAGGAAGGAAGCAGGUCAUUUUCUCAAACAGCAAGUGGGGCCCACGGAACUGGAUCUUUACUCCUUGGUGCAUCGCUUCUGUCGUGCAUUGCCUUGCUCCGUUUUUCCCAAAAAGCACUGGCUUCAUCAAGGCCACCGAUGAUCUCCUGAGUGCACUGGGAAAUCUGGGUAUAGGUCAGGCUUGGCAGCCUUGAUCCCAGGAGAGUACUAAUGCUAACAAGUCAAAUAAAAGGACAUCAAGUGGAUACCUGACUUCUCCGGAUCCUUAUUCUAUCUACAAGUCAAAGAUAACUCCUGGUCCAGACAAAACACCUGGCCUAUCAUAAGCUGACUAAAAAUCUGCACUUUGGGCCAGCGCAGGCAACAGUAACUCUGACAGGUUCAAAUUAGACCUCACACUUUCUACUCAUAUUCUAGUCACUGGCCCCAUCUGAAUCAGUAAUCCCUACUGCCUGGUCCUGGAGUAACUUCUUAGAGAUAUUAUUACAAGUGGCAAAAAUAAAAGAGGGAUUUGCUAAGAAUAUCAGAAAAGGAGUGUUCCAAUUUGAAGAGUAUUACAAUUGAAAUAACAUCAAAUAUGUCACACUAAGCAGCCAGUAACAAAAUAAAUAAUUACAAUGAAGGAAAAAAAAGGAAAGUCCUCCAAGGUCAGGAUGGCAUGGGAACAGGCCUAGCAGGGACACAAGCCUGGAGUAAGGCAGGAAAAGAGCCAAGGCUGACCACAGCCCACCAACCACAAUCUUCUUCCCUAAGACCCCAGGAUUGUCCCCGGCCCAUCCCCAAAAGAAGAAAGGGGCUAUGUGGAAAGGUGAGGCCCUCUAGAUGCCCCUCCCUGUGACGGCUGGCUCAAAAAAGACUAAGUCAGGUUUUUUAUUGAAGCCUCCCUUAGAAGAAAGUGUAGUAGGGAUUCCUUGUCUCCUCUACCUUCUCCCUACUGACUUGCUGAUAUCUGAAACUCCUUUUAAUAGGAGGCUUUGUUUCUUAUUCCAUAAUUAAUAACCGAAAACACAAAGGACAGUAAGGUCUUCAUUCCAUAGAGUGACUAGUCAGUCAACAGAAGUAAAAAUGCCUCAUUUCAUCAAAUCAACUUUUCCAGUAAAGGCCAGAGUUCAAAUACUGUAAGCAUGAGAGUAGAAUGGAGCUGUCACUAAAGAGAGUACAAGGUCAAGAACCAGAAAUGUCUCCAAGCUUUCUGCAGUGUGAGCAAAGAUAGCCUCAACUGGACAAAUAACACUUCUGACCCCGUGGUACCCCCACAUGACUGGUAUGCUGCCCCUGGACUUUGUGUCUCUCUAAAAUCACUACCAUUCACUGAGAUCUGACCAGGUGAGGCACUCACCAACGCUACAGAAGCAACACACAGGUUUCCAAUCCUCUCAAACACAGAUACAACCCCCAUCUUCCAAUGUGCACGGAAGAACUUUAAGGCUCAGAGAGAGUAAGCAAAAUCACACAAUUUAGUGGUUUAGACCUAUUCCAAAGUCUUCUUUUCACUGUAACACAAAACCCAACAGUAUCCCACCCAAUUUAUGAAGUCAAAUUUGUUUGCUUAAAAAAAAAAAUCAGCUGGGCAUGGGCUCACACCUGUAAUCCCAGCACUUUGGGCCUAAGCAGGCAGAUCGCUUGGGCUCAGGAGCUCGAGACCAGCCUGGGUAACAUGACAAAACCCUGUCUCUACAAAAAAAUACAAAAAAAAAAAAAAAAUUUUUUUUUUAAAUCAACUCUUUAACAGAGAAACCUUAAUCCCAAAGAUUUCCUUCACUGUUGUGGCCCUACUGCAGCAUAGGGCUCCCCACUUCAUUCACAGUCUCUCCUGCUUCAAGUUGUUUCUUCCCUGUGGAUGAAGAACCAGGAGAUCACACACAGAAAUGGGAAAAUAUCUGGGUAAAAACGUUCAAAGAAUAGCACAAAAUGGUUUGGGACUUCCAAAUAAGACUCUCAGGAAAGUCGGCUACAGCUCUACCUCAAAACCCGCCACCUCCUAUAACGAAGGACCGGUUUUCCAAUGGCCUAUAUACACAUUUUGCUGCACUCUACAAACAGAAAGCAAUAGGCUUGAAUUUCACCAUGAUAUGUGGUACACCUACCUUAUUAUUCACUUAUCUUUCAACCUUCCAUUACUUUUUGAUUAGUAACAAAAUUAAGACUCAUUUCUCAAAAAUAUCAGAAAACCAACCAUUUCAUUCUUACUCGAGUUCUUCCAACGUGUUCAUUUUGAACUGUUUACGUCCCAUGAAAUAAAAAGUCUCGACUCUGAGAA
Molecule: small RNA, 3673 nt
Filed under: Pan troglodytes (chimpanzee)
Lineage: Eukaryota; Metazoa; Chordata; Mammalia; Primates; Hominidae
Description: processed transcript
Source: RNAcentral